This 114-nucleotide ribosomal RNA is filed under the name Acanthosepion pharaonis. Lineage: Eukaryota; Metazoa; Mollusca; Cephalopoda; Sepiida; Sepiidae. The record is from RNAcentral.
UUACGGUCAAAUCACGCUGAAACACCGGUUCUCGUUCGAUCACCGAAAUUAAGCAUCGUAGAGCCAGAUCAGUACUUAGAUGGGGGACCGCUUGGGAACACCUGGUACUGUCAG